This 433-nucleotide ribosomal RNA is filed under the name uncultured bacterium. Its description in RNAcentral is "partial 16S ribosomal RNA". It matches the Rfam family "Bacterial small subunit ribosomal RNA", at positions 29 to 507 of the family's 1533-position model. The record is from RNAcentral.
AACGAACGCUGGCGGCAUGCCUAACACAUGCAAGUCGAACGAGACCUUCGGGUCUAGUGGCGCACGGGUGCGUAACGCGUGGGAACCUGCCCUUAGGUUCGGAAUAACUCCCCGAAAGGGGUGCUAAUACCGGAUAAUGUCUUCGGACCAAAGAUUUAUCGCCUUUGGAUGGGCCCGCGUUGGAUUAGCUAGUUGGUAGGGUAAAAGCCUACCAAGGCGACGAUCCAUAGCUGGUCUGAGAGGAUGAUCAGCCACACGGGGACUGAGACACGGCCCAGACUCCUACUGGAGGCAGCAGUGGGGAAUAUUGGACAAUGGGCGAAAGCCUGAUCCAGCAAUGCCGCGUGAGUGAUGAAGGCCUUAGGGUUGUAAAGCUCUUUUACCCGGGAUGAUAAUGAGAGUACCGGGAGAAUAAGCUCCGGCUAACUCCGUG